UAUUCAUUAAAUCAUAAUAUAUAUAUAUGAGAAAUAAAUAUCGAUAUAAUCCAUGUCUUUAAUUAAGAAGAGAAAUUGGCCAUAUAAAAUCAAAUAUGUAGAUAUGAGUAUAGAAAAAAAUUGACGAUCGUACCAAAGAGGUUAAACAGAAAAAGAUAAAUAUAGCUUCGUAAAUAUGAUAUAAACGUGUAAUUUCUAAAACUUGUAAUUAUACGUUUUAAUCACUGUUAUAAAAAAUGGUGAUAGAAGAAUUCAAAAAUGAUUUUCACACCUAUGGUUAUGAUAUGUUAGAUAAGAAAAAUCAUAAGUAAAUGUGAAUCAGGAUUAUCAUCGUUCACUCACUAGAUGGCGUUUCGAAGUAAGAACAUUUUCCAAUCUCUAAUUUUAUUUAAUCUAUGUCAUAUUCUCGCAUUACUGUAAAAUUACGCGAAACUAAAGAUCGUGCAUUUAAUAAAAGCUUUGAUAACUUAAGUAGAAUAAAAAUGUUAUUAGCGAAAGAUAUUGCGUUUUGUAAGUAAUAUAGUAUUAUAUACAAAUAAUAUCAAUAUAACCGUUUUUUUUAUUCA
Molecule: long non-coding RNA, 566 nt
Organism: Vespa crabro (European hornet)
Lineage: Eukaryota; Metazoa; Arthropoda; Insecta; Hymenoptera; Vespidae
Exons: 2
Source: RefSeq, a predicted model, not a curated record